This 390-nucleotide ribosomal RNA is filed under the name uncultured bacterium. RNAcentral describes it as "bacterial SSU rRNA". It matches the Rfam family "Bacterial small subunit ribosomal RNA", at positions 28 to 422 of the family's 1533-position model. The record is from RNAcentral.
GACGAACGCUGGCGGCGUGCUUAACACAUGCAAGUCGAGCGGUAAGGCCCUUCGGGGUACACGAGCGGCGAACGGGUGAGUAACACGUGGGUGACCUGCCUCUAGCUCUGGGAUAAGCCUGGGAAACUGGGUCUAAUACCGGAUAUGACUCCACGGCGCAUGUUGUGGGGUGGAAAGCCUUGUGUGGCUAGAGAUGGGCCCGCGGCCUAUCAGCUUGUUGGUGGGGUGAUGGCCUACCAAGGCGACGACGGGUAGCCGGCCUGAGAGGCGACCGGCCACACUGGGACUGAGACACGGCCCAGACUCCUACGGGAGGCAGCAGUGGGGAAUCUUGCGCAAUGGGCGAAAGCCUGACGCAGCGACGCCGCGUGAGGGAUGACGGCCUCGGUG